CAGGGAUUGCCCUAGUAACGGCGAGUGAAGCGGCAACAGCUCAAAUUUGAAAUCWGGCUUUCGGGCCCGAGUUGUAAUUUGUAGAGGAUACUUUUGAUGCGGUGCCUUCCGAGUUCCCUGGAACGGGACGCCAUAGAGGGUGAGAGCCCCGUCUGGUUGGAUGCCAAAUCUCUGUAAAGUUCCUUCGACGAGUCGAGUAGUUUGGGAAUGCUGCUCUAAAUGGGAGGUAUAUGUCUUCUAAAGCUAAAUAUUGGCCAGAGACCGAUAGCGCACAAGUAGAGUGAUCGAAAGAUGAAAAGCACUUUGAAAAGAGAGUUAAAAAGUACGUGAAAUUGUUGAAAGGGAAGCGUUUAUGACCAGACUUGGACUUGGUUAAUCAUCUGGGGUUCUCCCCAGUGCACUUUUCCAGUUCAGGCCAGCAUCAGUUUUCGCCGGGGGAUAAAGGCUUCGGGAAUGUAGCUCUCUUCGGGGAGUGUUAUAGCCCGUUGUGUAAUACCCUGGUGGAGACUGAGGUUCGCGCUUCUGCAAGGAUGCUGGCGUAAUGGUCAUCAACGACCCGUCUUGAAACACGGACCAAGGAGUCGUCUUCGUAUGCGAGUGUUCGGGUGUCAAACCCCUACGCGUAAUGAAAGUGAACGCAGGUGAGAGCUUCGGCGCAUCAUCGACCGAUCCUGAUGUUCUCGGAUGGAUUUGAGUAAGAGCAUACGGGGCCGGACCCGAAAGAAGGUGAACUAUGCCUGUAUAGGGUGAAGCCAGAGGAAACUCUGGUGGAGGCUCGCAGCGGUUCUGACGUGCAAAUCGAUCGUCAAAUAUGGGCAUGGGGGCGAAAGACUAAU
Molecule: ribosomal RNA, 836 nt
Filed under: Fusarium sp.
Lineage: Eukaryota; Fungi; Ascomycota; Sordariomycetes; Hypocreales; Nectriaceae
Description: partial large subunit ribosomal RNA
Source: RNAcentral